CCCUUAGAUGUCCUGGGCUGCACGCGCGCUACACUGACUGGCUCAGCGUGUGCCUACCCUACGCCGGCAGGCGCGGGUAACCCGUUGAACCCCAUUCGUGAUGGGGAUCGGGGAUUGCAAUUAUUCCCCAUGAACGAGGAAUUCCCAGUAAGUGCGGGUCAUAAGCUUGCGUUGAUUAAGUCCCUGCCCUUUGUACACACCGCCCGUCGCUACUACCGAUUGGAUGGUUUAGUGAGGCCCUCGGAUCGGCCCCGCCGGGGUCGGCCCACGGCCCUGGCGGAGCGCUGAGAAGACGGUCGAACUUGACUAUCUAGAGGAAGUAAAAGUCGUAACA
This 334-nucleotide ribosomal RNA is filed under the name uncultured eukaryote. RNAcentral's name for it is "partial 18S ribosomal RNA". It matches the Rfam family "Eukaryotic small subunit ribosomal RNA", at positions 1470 to 1796 of the family's 1831-position model. The record is from RNAcentral.